This is a long non-coding RNA of Quercus lobata, 1594 nucleotides long. RefSeq lists it as uncharacterized. The record is from RefSeq and is a predicted model, not a curated record. Lineage: Eukaryota; Viridiplantae; Streptophyta; Magnoliopsida; Fagales; Fagaceae. The transcript has 2 exons.
AAUAAAAUAUUGGGCCCUAGAAUAAUUUGAGAGAAAACUACAUAACAGUUGACAAUUGACAAUUGACAAUGAGGAAGAGGUAAUGCUUGUUAAGCUUUUGUUUGAUUACACAUUCGUUUUGCUAAAUGAGAGUUGUGAGAGGCACUCCUUUCUUUCUCUCUUCUCCCCUCUCUUAGGUGGUAACUCAUGGAAUGAUUCCAUGAGACCUUCCUCUCUCCCUGCAUGUGGAACUUACAAAUAUAUAGAAAAUCAUAUAUUGUGAGAAAGUGACUUCAUGGAGUUGCAACAUAAUAAGAUGAUCCUCUCCUCUCCUCUCCUAUGCCCUUAACUAUUUUCUUAAUUUGUACAUUUCAUCAUGUCGAACUCACAAAUAUAUAGAAUAUCACUGUGCACAGUUUAUUUGUAUCUUUCUAAUAUAAUAGGUUGUUCAACAUUCAGGAAAGGACACAGAUCCACCAACUAACGAGUUUGUGAAACAUUUCACUGAACUAAAGAUAAACUUAAUUAUUUUAUGCAUUGCGUAAGUAACAAAAUAUAUCAAUGAGAAAAUGGCAUUCUACAAACAAAUCAAAUUUUUGGUAAAUUCUAUCUAAAGACACUUGCUUUUUGGUUUCCACUACUUCUUAAAAUUUGGAAAAUAAGCCGUGGAGUUUGGAACCAUCCUUUCCCCCUGAGUGAUUCUAGGACCACAACCUAUUUCACCACUUUUUGCCACAACUUUAACGUGGCAAAUUAUGAAUGGUUGACUAUCACUUACACAUGGACCCACAAUUUUUCUUUUACCAUUCACACUGCCAUAUCACAAUUGUGGUAAAGAAGUUGUGUAAUAGUUUGUGGUACUAUAUUUUUUUCCCUCCCUCCAUGAAGUACAAGUCUCAAGGUUAAGUGGCUUCUGGAUCAAAUGGGAGUAUAGGACCAAACCAAUAUAGUGAUAGUCUUUCUUGUAACGAAGCCACUGUAGUCUCCUUGAAAUGCAUUUUGCAGCAGAAAAACUAAGCUACAGUAAUGACACCAAAUUGUUAACGGUUUCCUAUGAAAACCGUAAAACUUAUUACUCCCUUGAAACCCAAGUUUGCAAAACUUACUCCCUUCAAACCCAAACUAAACCGAUAUGAAGAAGAAAAUGCAAAGCAGAAAUACAUAUCAAUCAGACACAAGAAAGUGAAAAGCUCACAAAGCCUACACGGAGAAGCAAAAAAGACAUUCCCAUUUAGAAGGCUUACGCUCAACACACAGUCAUGACUUGAGGAAAUUUGAGAAUACAAACUUUCUGCAUUAGAUAACCGGAAGUUAAUGCACCAGGUUAUUGAUCAUUUAAUCCCAAAAGGAUGGAGGGAGGAAAGCAAACAAAGUUGAGUCCAACUUAGAUUCUUGGUAUAAUAUGAAUAAAUCUACUCACCAGCCAAUCAACGUUCUUCUAACUCUAUCUAAAAUUUGAUACCUAGCUAUCAUUUUGGACAACUGUAACCUGCAGUUCUCAUCCAAAAGAAAUCUGUGAACCUCCCAUUCAUGAUCUGAUUCUGAUGUUGAAUAUCUUCCUAUUUCAGCCUAAAAACCCAAGACAGAAAGUGUUACAAGUAUUUCAAGAUUUGAC